Molecule: ribosomal RNA, 500 nt
Filed under: uncultured bacterium
Lineage: Bacteria
Description: partial 16S ribosomal RNA
Rfam family: Bacterial small subunit ribosomal RNA
Source: RNAcentral
AUUGAACGCUGGCGGAAUGCUUUACACAUGCAAGUCGAACGGCAGCACGGACUUCGGUCUGGUGGCGAGUGGCGAACGGGUGAGUAAUGUAUCGGAACGUGCCCAGUCGUGGGGGAUAACGUAGUGAAAAUUACGCUAAUACCGCAUACGAUCUAUGGAUGAAAGCGGGGGAUCGCAAGACCUCGCGCGAUUGGAGCGGCCGAUAUCAGAUUAGGUAGUUGGUGGGGCAAAGGCCCACCAAGCCAACGAUCUGUAGCUGGUCUGAGAGGACGACCAGCCACACUGGAACUGAGACACGGGCCAGACUCCUACGGGAGGCAGCAGUGGGUAAUUUUGGACAAUGGGCGAAAGCCUGAUCCAGCCAUUCCGCGUGCAGGAUGAAGGCCCUCGGGUUGUAAACUGCUUUUGUACAGAACGAAAAGGUUUCUACUAAUACUAGGAGCUCAUGACGGUACUGUAAGAAUAAGCACCGGCUAACUAUGUGCCAGCCGCCGCGGUAA